Molecule: ribosomal RNA, 586 nt
Filed under: uncultured bacterium
Lineage: Bacteria
Description: bacterial SSU rRNA
Rfam family: Bacterial small subunit ribosomal RNA
Source: RNAcentral
AGAGUUUGAUCCUGGCUCAGAAUGAACGCUGGCGGCGUGCUUAACACAUGCAAGUCGUACGUGAAAGAAGGGCAACCUUCAAGUAAAGUGGCGCACGGGUGAGUAACACGUGGAUAACCUGCCCCAAAGUCUGGGAUAACGCGCCGAAAGGUGCGCUAAUACCGGGUACCUUUAUGCCUCACAAGAGGUAUAAAGAAAGGAGGCCUCUGCUUGCAAGCUUCUGCUUUGGGAUGGAUCCGCGGCCUAUCAGGUAGUUGGUAGGGUAAUGGCCUACCAAGCCUACGACGGGUAGCUGGUCUGAGAGGACGAUCAGCCACAUUGGGACUGAGACACGGCCCAGACUCCUACGGGAGGCAGCAGUGGGGAAUAUUGGGCAAUGGGAGAAAUCCUGACCCAGCAACGCCGCGUGGAGGAUUAAGGCCUUUCGGGUUGUAACUCCCUGUCAGCAGGGAAAAAAGGUUAUAAGAGCUAAAUACCUUUUUAUAGCUUGAUGGUACCUGCAGAGGAAGCACCCGGCUAACUACGUGCCUGCAGCCGCGGGUAAUACCGUUAGGGUUGCAAAGCGUUAUUCGGAAUCACUGGGCGU